RNAcentral lists this unclassified non-coding RNA (217 nucleotides) under Hevea brasiliensis (rubber tree). The record is from RNAcentral. Lineage: Eukaryota; Viridiplantae; Streptophyta; Magnoliopsida; Malpighiales; Euphorbiaceae.
CCUCUAUAGGUAUCUCUCUCCUCUCUCUUGGGUGUGAAACAAAUGGUUCACGGUUCAUAAAGUCAGAACCACCACCAAACAGACUUCUUCGAAAGUGUGGAUCAAGAAAUGAGAAUGGGUUCAUUGUACUAGCCUCAGAUAGAACUGAAAGAGGAUUUCUUCUAGAUGCAACUUCAACUGGAUCAUCUAUAUCCAUGAGAUCAUCUUGAGGAGCAAC